Carassius carassius (crucian carp) is the source of this 399-nucleotide long non-coding RNA. RefSeq lists it as uncharacterized. The record is from RefSeq and is a predicted model, not a curated record. NCBI's taxonomy places the organism in Eukaryota, Metazoa, Chordata, Actinopteri, Cypriniformes, Cyprinidae. The transcript has 3 exons.
ACAGAGAGGAUGAUUCAGAGAAAUACUGCGAACUGGAUCUGGAGAUUAGCAGGCUCUUAUCAGUAUUACUUUGGGUGAAAGAACUGGAGGUGGCUCGUUGUUGUCGAUCCAGUGUUACGUAUUGAGAGGAAGAUCCUGCCUCUCGAUUGUAUUACUGUUCAGACUUGCCUUGCUAAGUGUUUGGGCCCUCUGGAUGAAUGACUAGACAGACUCAGAGUGGCCAAGGAAACUGAAACUAGGCACAUCACGGUCCUGCUACUCCAUAGCUGAUCAGCUGGAGCUGAACCCUGAUUUCUCCCACACCUGGCAAGAAUUACACCUGGAUGGAUGUAGGCAACCUGAUGGAAAACAUUAUGUUAGAGUGGAACAUGCUUCGCAUCACAGAUGUGGUGUACAACC